RNAcentral lists this microRNA precursor (126 nucleotides) under Myotis brandtii (Brandt's bat). RNAcentral describes it as "mir-9193 microRNA precursor family". It matches the Rfam family "mir-9193 microRNA precursor family". The record is from Rfam by way of RNAcentral. Lineage: Eukaryota; Metazoa; Chordata; Mammalia; Chiroptera; Vespertilionidae.
CGUGCACUGGUGAGGUCCCUUGGCCUGGCCUGUGACCUCUCACAAUCUGGGAGCCCUCAGGGGAUGUUGGAGAGCCAGUUUCAGCCUGAUCCCACAGGCCAGGCUAAGGGACCCCACCAGUGCACA